CAGGCCGAACGUUAUUGGGCCUAAGCAUCCGUAGCCGGCUCUGCAAGUCUUCGGUUAAAUCCACCUGCUCAACAGAUGGGCUGCUGGAGAUACUACAGAGCUAGGGAGUGGGAGAGGCAGACGGUAUUCAGUGGGUAGGGGUAAAAUCCUCUGAUCCAUUGAGGACCACCAGUGGCGAAGGCGGUCUGCCAGAACACGUUCGACGGUGAGGGAUGAAAGCUGGGGGAGCAAACCGGAUUAGAUACCCGGGUAGUCCCAGCUGUAAACGAUGCAAACUCGGUGAUGCAUUGGCUUAUGGCCAAUGCAGUGCCGCAGGGAAGCCGUUAAGUUUGCCGCCUGGGAAGUACGGACGCAAGUCUGAAACUUAAAGGAAUUGGCGGGAGGAGCACAAC
Molecule: ribosomal RNA, 392 nt
Filed under: uncultured archaeon
Lineage: Archaea
Description: bacterial SSU rRNA
Rfam family: Archaeal small subunit ribosomal RNA
Source: RNAcentral